GGCGUUAAGUUGCAGGGUAUAGACCCGAAACCCGGUGAUCUAGCCAUGGGCAGGUUGAAGGUUGGGUAACACUAACUGGAGGACCGAACCGACUAAUGUUGAAAAAUUAGCGGAUGACCUGUGGCUGGGGGUGAAAGGCCAAUCAAACCGGGAGAUAGCUGGUUCUCCCCGAAAGCUAUUUAGGUAGCGCCUCGUGAAUUCAUCUCCGGGGGUAGAGC
This 218-nucleotide ribosomal RNA is filed under the name Salmonella enterica subsp. enterica serovar Worthington. Its description in RNAcentral is "partial 23S ribosomal RNA". It matches the Rfam family "Bacterial large subunit ribosomal RNA", at positions 691 to 908 of the family's 2925-position model. Lineage: Bacteria; Pseudomonadati; Pseudomonadota; Gammaproteobacteria; Enterobacterales; Enterobacteriaceae. The record is from RNAcentral.